UUUUACACUUUCAUCCUCACUAUUUGCUAGAUACGUGCUCGGUUAAGAAAUAUUUUCAUAGCUUCUUAAUGUAAAAUUGACACUGCUCAAUUUGAAAGAAAUUUAAAUACAUGAAUUUUACAAAUGUGACGAAUAAUCAUAACGGGAUGGUUUUAAAGAUCAACAUACCUAAAUUUAAGACAGUAUGUAAAACGUAAAACUUGCGUAGGAAAUCGUGACGUAUAAUGGCUUAGUUAUAUUCAAUCAUUGAUCAAACGUUAAUUAAGUAAUUUCGAUAGAAGAUAACGGAGGGGGAUGAAGAGGGGCGAGGAAUCACGAGGCCGCAGCUCGUGGAGGGGCUCACCGCUCAGUGCGGGGUCCCUCGUCGCUGGCCUACUCAUCAAUGAAGCUCUCACUGAUAAAGUGCUGUGUCGUCAAGUAGUGUUGCUGUCAGUGCGUGGGCGCGCGGCGUCGUGACGCGGUCACCUGUACCUUAUAUUUACUCUGUACCAUACUACAUCUAUAUCAUUACUCGUUAAUUAUAUUCAUGUGUGAUAUCCGAAA
Long non-coding RNA from Pieris napi, 543 nucleotides. RefSeq lists it as uncharacterized. The record is from RefSeq and is a predicted model, not a curated record. NCBI's taxonomy places the organism in Eukaryota, Metazoa, Arthropoda, Insecta, Lepidoptera, Pieridae. The transcript has 2 exons.